Molecule: transfer RNA, 104 nt
Filed under: Thermoproteota archaeon
Lineage: Archaea; Thermoproteati; Thermoproteota
Also listed under: 1 other name
Description: tRNA-Met
Rfam family: tRNA
About the family: Transfer RNA (tRNA) molecules are approximately 80 nucleotides in length.
Source: RNAcentral
AGCGGGGUGGGGAAGCCAGGUUAUCCCGGCGGGCUCAUAACCCGCAGAGCGGUUUCCAUUAGAGUAAACCUUGAUGGCCGUAAGUUCAAAUCAACCCCCCGCUA